GCCAGACUCCUACGGGAGGCAGCAGUGGGGAAUAUUGCACAAUGGGGGAAACCCUGAUGCAGCGACGCCGCGUGAGUGAAGAAGUAUUUCGGUAUGUAAAGCUCUAUCAGCAGGGAAGAAAAUGACGGUACCCGACUAAGAAGCCCCGGCUAACUACGUGCCAGCAGCCGCGGUAAUACGUAGGGGGCAAGCGUUAUCCGGAUUUACUGGGUGUAAAGGGAGCGUAGACGGUGAUGCAAGUCAGAAGUGAAAGCCCGGGGCUCAACUCCGGGACUGCUUUUGAAACUGUGUGACUGGAGUGCAGGAGAGGUAAGCGGAAUUCCUGGUGUAGCGGUGAAAUGCGUAGAUAUCAGGAGGAACACCAGUGGCGAAGGCGGCUUACUGGACUGUAACUGACGUUGAGGCUCGAAAGCGUGGGGAGCAAACAGGAUUAGAUACCCUUGUACAA
RNAcentral lists this ribosomal RNA (448 nucleotides) under uncultured bacterium. RNAcentral describes it as "bacterial SSU rRNA". It matches the Rfam family "Bacterial small subunit ribosomal RNA", at positions 330 to 794 of the family's 1533-position model. The record is from RNAcentral.